GACGAACGCUGGCGGCGUGCUUAACACAUGCAAGUCGAACGGAAAGGCCCUGCUUUUGUGGGGUGCUCGAGUGGCGAACGGGUGAGUAACACGUGAGUAACCUGCACUUGACUUUGGGAUAACUUCAGGAAACUGGGGCUAAUAUCGGAUAGGAGAUCCUGCUGCAUGGUGGGGGUUGGAAAGUUUCGGCGGUGGGGGCUGGUCUCGAGGCUUAUCAGCUUGUUGGUGGGGUAGUGGCUUUCCAAGGCUGUGACGGGUAGCCGGCCUGGGAGGGUGACCGGCGUCAUGGGGCCUGCGGUACGGCCCAGACUCCUACGUGCGGCAGCAGGGGGGAAUAUUGCACAAUGGGCGGAAGCCUGAUGCAGCAACGCCGCGUGCGUGAUGACGGCCUUCGGGUUGUAAACCGCUUUCGCCUGUGACGAAGCGUGAGUGACGGUAAUGGGUAAAGAAGCACCGGCUAACUACGUG
RNAcentral lists this ribosomal RNA (468 nucleotides) under uncultured bacterium. RNAcentral's name for it is "partial 16S ribosomal RNA". It matches the Rfam family "Bacterial small subunit ribosomal RNA", at positions 28 to 507 of the family's 1533-position model. The record is from RNAcentral.